AACGAACGCUGGCGGAAUGCUUUACACAUGCAAGUCGAACGGCAGCACGGGAGCUUGCUCCUGGUGGCGAGUGGCGAACGGGUGAGUAAUGCAUCGGAACGUACCUAUUAGUGGGGGAUAACUAUCCGAAAGGAUGGCUAAUACCGCAUACGUCCUGAGGGAGAAAGUGGGGGAUCGUAAGACCUCGCGCUAAUAGAGCGGCCGAUGUUGGAUUAGCUAGUUGGUGGGGUAAAGGCCUACCAAGGCGACGAUCCAUAGCUGGUCUGAGAGGAUGAUCAGCCACACUGGGACUGAGACACGGCCCAGACUCCUACGGGAGGCAGCAGUGGGGAAUUUUGGACAAUGGGGGCAACCCUGAUCCAGCCAUUCCGCGUGAGUGAAGAAGGCCUUCGGGUUGUAAAGCUCUUUUGUCAGGGAAGAAAAGGCUGUGGCUAAUAUCCACAGCUGCUGACGGUACCUGAAGAAUAAGCACCGGCUAACUACGUGCCAGCCGCCGCAGUAA
RNAcentral lists this ribosomal RNA (502 nucleotides) under uncultured bacterium. Its description in RNAcentral is "partial 16S ribosomal RNA". It matches the Rfam family "Bacterial small subunit ribosomal RNA", at positions 29 to 523 of the family's 1533-position model. The record is from RNAcentral.